AUAAUUGUGACGUCAAGCUCGCUUUUAUAUUGAGUGAAACAGCCGUCCAUAGUUAGUUGUUAGAACAGCAGCAUCAAGUCCUAUUUCUUUCAGUUCAUUAAACUUGGAAUUUGAAAUACCAGCAUACUGUUUAUAAGAAUAACAAUUUUCAUCAACAUUCUUGGAUAUUUGAUAAUGAAGGAGUAACUUAUUAUUUUUUUUUUUUUUUGGCAGCUAAAAUUUAUGUUUGCUAAUGCUGUUGGACUAACAGCUUUUUAGAUCGAUUCCAUUCAAAUUGUAAACUUGUACAAGCAGUUUUAUUGAUUUUAAGUCUUAUACAGGCUUCAACUUUAAAAAGCAGAACUGCUAUAUGACUGCAAGCUGAUCCAAAUCUAAAAAAUAAGUUGCUAAAAACUUAGGUUUUCAAUAUAUUAAUUGUUAUUUCAAAUUAUUCAUUAUAAAUUAUCUUAACUAGUAUAAUUCUAAUAAUAUAAUCAUAUUAUAAUCUUAAAUAAUCAAAAUAUGUUGUUAACCCUAAUAAUUGUUGUUAAAACAACCUGACUUAAUUGUUAAAGUUAACAUACCCAUUUUAUGUUACUAAAAAACUUAAUCUUAAUUGCUUAUGUAAACAUACCCAGCAACACAACUGCAGUUUCCAUUUAAAGUAUAUCCUUUGGAUUUGUGAACAUAAAUCCAAACAUCAUACAUUGCUGUUUUUUUUUCCUUGUCUUUGACUUGGUAAGACUUAAAAUAACAACAUUAAUUUUGUUUAAAAUUUAUUGUAGUUGUAUAUCUUAGUUAUAUUUUAGAUUCCUCUAAAAUUGUUUUUUUACCUUUGUUUUUAAAGCACAAAACUCAGAAUCAUCAAUUAAAUCAACAUAAAAAACAUCUUGCACGUGUCCACAGAUAAAAUAAUUAAAAGCCUCAAGGGAUUUAUAGCCUUUCGUACUUUCUUUGCUAUAUAAACUUUGUGAUUCUACUAAAAAUGUGUGUCAUUAUAACUGAAUUCUGGAAACAAACUAACAUUGUUUUUCCAAAAUUUUUCUUCGAUACCAUAAUGAUCGGGAAGCAAAACAUUAUUUUCUAAUGUCAACUUCUUCAAAUAAAAUUCUUUGUCAGGAUUAGAAAGAGAAUUGAAGUAAGAUGACAUUGUUUAGAUGAAACUUUAUGAAGUAGUCCGAAUUAAAAUUUAUUUUAUAUUUUUGCCUACCAACUAACGCGUAUGCGCUUAAAUUGUAAACAUUUGCAUCUAUACAGAUUUAAGCUGCUCAAAAUUAAAUGUUGUGGAGGUAAUAUAAUUUUGUUUAUAAAUAUCAAUUCAUUACUUUUUUUCCUUUCUUCUUUAAAAUGCUCUAUUUCUCUAAUUUUGAAUUUGCCACUACUAAGACUUAGUAGUGGCAAAUUCAAAAUUAUUACAUAACUCAUGAUCUAAGAAUAAUCAUUCAAUUUAAAACUAUGUUUUAAAUAUAUUAUAUAAUAAAAAAUAUACAUUAAAAAUAACAUAUAUUAAUAAAAUAUUUCUAUCUGAGUAUUACUAGUAGUCUACUAAUGAUACUCAGAUAGAAAUAUUUUAAAAGAUUUAAACUCAAGUUAAAUAUUUAUUCAAGUAUUACUAGUUUUAUUUUGAUAUUAUUUAUUAUAGGAACCACUACCAUUCUUAUGCAAGAGAAAACAUAAUCCAACCAAAAAUAACCAACAGAAUAAUAAAUAUUUAGAUCAGCAAUGGCAAGAUUUUCACGAGGAAAGAGGAAUUUAAUAUAGUGCAAAGCCAAGAUGGAGCAUGUGUUUUUCCGUAGAAAAGAAAAAUGUUGUUUUACCAGAGACACCUGCAUUAAUUUCCCUUAUAAGAAAAGCUACUAAAAAAGAUUCCUCAUCAAAUGGAGUCUCCCAUUACUGAGGAAGAAUAUAGAAUAGAAUUUCAGAAAAAAGUUAUAUAUGCACUGGUAGAAAUGAAAGAGAUGUUUGUAAAGCUCUUUCCAGUAAUUAAAAUAAUAUCAUGACAAAUAGUCCUGAAAUUUGAUGGAUGAAUUUGCAGCAGUCGUUUAGUGAUUAUUAUAACAGUUAAAAUGAUUUUCGGGUGAGAUCUGAAAGGAUUAUGAUAACAGUUUAAACGGGCGAUGUCUGAAAUGGUUAACAAAUUUUCUAAAAUAAGAGAGAGUGUCGUGUCAGUUAAAGUGACUACUACAGUUGCCGACAUAAGAAAAGGAAUAAUGACUUUAUUAAAAUACGCACUCGACAGAUCGAAUGGUCGUGGUGAGCGCGUAAAAGGCGAUUCACUAGAUGUAUAACAUUUUUUCCUAAUUGUUCUGGAACUAUUGUUAAAUAAAACAUUUUUUUAAAAACAUUUUACUCUAUUUGCAUUGUGUAUAAAGUCCCUUGAAGCAAUUUAGUUAUAUCUGAUUAAUUUACUUGAAAUACUUUGCGCAAA
Hydra vulgaris (swiftwater hydra) is the source of this 2407-nucleotide non-coding RNA. NCBI's taxonomy places the organism in Eukaryota, Metazoa, Cnidaria, Hydrozoa, Anthoathecata, Hydridae. The record is from RefSeq and is a predicted model, not a curated record.